RNAcentral lists this unclassified non-coding RNA (200 nucleotides) under soil metagenome. RNAcentral describes it as "partial contains internal transcribed spacer 2 and large subunit ribosomal RNA". The record is from RNAcentral.
GCCUGUUCGAGCGUCAUUUCAACCCUCAAGCUUGGCUUGGUAUUGGGUGUCACCUAGUUAGGUGCAUCUUAAAAUCAGUGGCGGGUGCAUCUGGCCUCAAGUGUAGUAAAUUUCUUGCUUUGGAGGUUUAGAUGUGUGUUUGCUAUCUCUAUUUUUCAAUGGUUGACCUCGGAUCAGGUAGGGAUACCCGCUGAACUUAA